RNAcentral lists this ribosomal RNA (641 nucleotides) under Arthrobacter sp. I14A-00860. RNAcentral describes it as "bacterial SSU rRNA". It matches the Rfam family "Bacterial small subunit ribosomal RNA", at positions 101 to 756 of the family's 1533-position model. The record is from RNAcentral. Lineage: Bacteria; Bacillati; Actinomycetota; Actinomycetes; Micrococcales; Micrococcaceae.
AACGGGUGAGUAACACGUGAGUAACCUGCCCUUGACUCUGGGAUAAGCCUGGGAAACUGGGUCUAAUACCGGAUAUGACUGACUAUCGCAUGGUGGUUGGUGGAAAGCUUUUGUGGUUUUGGAUGGACUCGCGGCCUAUCAGCUUGUUGGUGGGGUAAUGGCCUACCAAGGCGACGACGGGUAGCCGGCCUGAGAGGGUGACCGGCCACACUGGGACUGAGACACGGCCCAGACUCCUACGGGAGGCAGCAGUGGGGAAUAUUGCACAAUGGGCGGAAGCCUGAUGCAGCGACGCCGCGUGAGGGAUGACGGCCUUCGGGUUGUAAACCUCUUUCAGUAGGGAAGAAGCGUAAGUGACGGUACCUGCAGAAGAAGCGCCGGCUAACUACGUGCCAGCAGCCGCGGUAAUACGUAGGGCGCAAGCGUUAUCCGGAAUUAUUGGGCGUAAAGAGCUCGUAGGCGGUUUGUCGCGUCUGCCGUGAAAGUCCGGGGCUCAACUCCGGAUCUGCGGUGGGUACGGGCAGACUAGAGUGAUGUAGGGGAGACUGGAAUUCCUGGUGUAGCGGUGAAAUGCGCAGAUAUCAGGAGGAACACCGAUGGCGAAGGCAGGUCUCUGGGCAUUAACUGACGCUGAGGAGCGA